GACGAACGCUGGCGGCGUGCCUAAUACAUGCAAGUCGAGCGGACUUGAUGAGAAGCUUGCUUCUCUGAGAGUUAGCGGCGGACGGGUGAGUAACACGUAGGCAACCUGCCUGUAAGACUGGGAUAACUACCGGAAACGGUAGCUAAUACCGGAUAGGUGAUUUUCUCGCAUGAGGAAGUCAAGAAAGACGGAGUAAUCUGUCACUUACGGAUGGGCCUGCGGCGCAUUAGCUAGUUGGUGAGGGAAUGGCUCACCAAGGCGACGAUGCGUAGGCGACCUGAGGGGGUGAACGGCCACACUGGGACUGAGACACGGCCCAGACUCCUACGGGAGGCAGCAGUAGGGAAUCUUCCGCAAUGGACGAGAGUCUGACGGAGCAACGCCGCGUGAGUGAUGAAGGUUUUCGGAUCGUAAAGCUCUGUUGCCAGGGAAGAACGUCUUAGAGAGUAACUGCUCUGAGAGUGACGGUACCUGAGAAGAAAGCCCCGGCUAACUACGUGCCAGCCGCCGCGGUAA
This 516-nucleotide ribosomal RNA is filed under the name uncultured bacterium. RNAcentral describes it as "partial 16S ribosomal RNA". It matches the Rfam family "Bacterial small subunit ribosomal RNA", at positions 28 to 523 of the family's 1533-position model. The record is from RNAcentral.